This 301-nucleotide ribosomal RNA is filed under the name uncultured bacterium. Its description in RNAcentral is "partial 16S ribosomal RNA". It matches the Rfam family "Bacterial small subunit ribosomal RNA", at positions 509 to 807 of the family's 1533-position model. The record is from RNAcentral.
CAGUAGCCGCGGGAAGACAGAGGAUGCAAGCGUUAUCCGGAAUGAUUGGGUGUAAGGGGUGUGCAGACGGUUUAUUAAGUCACCUGUUAAAUUCUUCGGCCUAACUGAAGGUCUGCAAGUGAUACUGAUGAGCUAGAGGGUGGAAGAGAGAAGUGGAAUUCUCGGAGUAGCGGUAAAAUGCGUAGAUCUCGAGAGGAACACCAAUGGCGAAGGCAGCUUCUUGGUCCAUUCCUGACGUUCAUACACGAAAGCGUGGGGAGCAAACAGGAUCAGAUACCCCAGUAGUCCCUGUCUCUUAUAC